Long non-coding RNA from Myotis lucifugus (little brown bat), 4779 nucleotides. RefSeq lists it as uncharacterized. Lineage: Eukaryota; Metazoa; Chordata; Mammalia; Chiroptera; Vespertilionidae. The transcript is spliced from 2 exons. The record is from RefSeq and is a predicted model, not a curated record.
GGUCCUGUGGGCACAGCAGCGCAUGAAGCAAGGGCACCUCCAGGGCAGGCAGAGGGGUCCAACCACAGGAUGCUCAAGAAGUCCCCACCCCAAGAGAUCCACAGGACUAGGAUGCAUCCAGAAACCACAUUGCCCAAGUCUUCACCACCUAAUGACUAAGCCCCAUGCCUAGCCUUGCUGUGGUUGUCACAGGGAACUAGAGGGUUGGAUCACAUGGGGAAGGUUGACAGGAAGCAGGGUGUGUGUGUGCCGUGCCUACAGAUUAAUGCCUGAGUUCCUCAUAAUUAGUUCUUUUUCUUUUUUUGAAAGUCUAUAGACCUGGUAUUCCCAGGUAGUCUCCCAUUCAAGCACUACCCAGGCUCGACCUUGCUUAACUUCCAAUAUCAGAUGAGAUGGGGCAUGUUCAUGGUGGUAGACUCACAAUUAGAUCUUUGUUCCUUUGGUUUAAAGCUUGGGCCCCCUCUGGGCCCUCCUGCUGCUCAGUAAGUUCCUUGCAUUCUCAGUCAACCUCUGCUGGUCCCACUCUUGGGCUGUAUUUAUUGAGUGCUUACUAGUACUAGCUACCAUGCUGAGUGCUUCAUACGCCUCUCAUUUAAUCCUCACCUUUCUAAAUUUAUGCACUGAAUCCUAGUCUCUUAAUUUUAUGCAGAAGGAGAAACCAAGGUUUAGAGAAACCAGAGCAUUUGCCCAAAGGCAAAUAGCUAAUAAGUAUAUGGCUGAAUGAGAGCUCUACCCCAGGUCUUUCUAACACCAAAGCCCAUACUCGUAGGCACGACACCCACAUAGAUCACUUGACCCACAGGAGAAACAGAGGCCAUCAGAUGUGCAACUCCCAAACACCUCACAUUCUCAAAGCACCAUAAGUCAGGCUCUGUGAUUCUCAUCUAAGAUUCACAACACAGAGACUUAGGAAAGUUAUCUCACUUGGCCCAAGACAACUCGGUUUGAAGUCUGGCUCUCCAGCUGGGGCACAGGCCCAACUUCCCUUCCUCUCUCUCCACAAAGCUCUAACUUGCUGCCAAUGGCAAAGGCAUACUCUUCUUGCUUCUUCCAAGAGGACUUCUUCAACUCACACUCUCCAGUCCUUCUCAAACAUACCAAUCUCUCUCUUAGGAAACUGAACGCUUCAAUCUCACCUCUUCACUGACUCCUUCCAUCACACACACACCUCACUUAACCUGGAACUUCUUUCCACCCUUCCUAAAGCUUAACAACCUGCUUCUUUUCCUUUGUUUCAAAAUAUUUAAAUGUAGCACAAAGGAAAAUGAAUAAACAUUUAUUGAGCCUACCAUAAGCAAGACAAUACAAAUGUUAUUAAAUUCUCACAUCCAUGCACAUAAAAUUAUCCCCAUUUUACAGACAAGGACACUGAGGUUCAGAGCCAUUAUAUAACUUGCAGAGGUCUCAACCAAUAAACAGCCAGGAGUUACCUAACUCUUAAAGCUUGUGCUGCACCCACUCCACCCUCUUCAUGGACACUGCUCUCCCAAAGGCUGUUCAUGUCCUAAGCGGGCCCCUUCUCUGUCCUUGCUCAUUUGGUCCUCAGCACCUCUGCUGUUCACUUCUUCAAUGCUCCCCUCCAAGGUCCCCUCCUGUCUCUCUGACCCCUUUUACUGUAUCUCUUGCAGGCACGUAUGCACCUGAGAACAGCACUUAGUCUUUUCAAUUGACACUGUCCCUAGCAAUCUCAUUCUCCAUCUCUCAUUUUCAGACCCAUACUAGAUUGGGUAUUUCAUAGGCACUUCAAAUUCAGCAGCUCCCCCCAUAUCUCCCAGCUGCUCCAAGUUUGGGGCUCUCUGCAUUAUCCUCUGGGGUGAGGCACCACCACAGCCUCUCUGAUUGGUGAAUGGCCACAGGGCCUCCUGGGCUUGUCAACCUUCUGUAGGCAGAAUCCCAAAAGGGGAAGAGGAAGUACCUAAAGCAGCUUCUUUCUCCAGAGGUGUGGAGAGAUGGAACUCAGUGAUAGGCCUCUACAGGCCUGUCAGUAGUACCAGAGCACUUGUACUAAAAGUUAAGCAUCCAAUAAAAUUUAGCUCUCCUGGGACUAGAUUUCUACUUUAUAUGAUUACUAGAGGCCUGAUGCACAAAAUUUGUGCAAGAGUAGGCCUUCCUUCCACUGGCUGCUGGCACCGGCUUCCCUCUGGCACCCAGGACCCAGGCUUUCCUCGCAGCCCCGGCUUCAUGCGGAAGGACAUCUGGUCUAAUUAGCAUAUUAUGCUUUUAAUAUUAUAGAUUCUAUUUAAUAUAUGGUGCUUAGUUUAUUUCUUCUGGCCCCAAGGUUGUUUUUAAGAAUAAUUUCUCAAAUGAAAUUCUUAUUUUCUCCAGCCCUGUUCUUCCUGCUUAAUCCUUACCAAUGGUGCCAUCAUCCCCUCUCGCCUCACUUAUUCCUUACCCUUAAUUCCACACACACACAUCUGUCAAUUUUACUUCUGGGUGACUAUCCUACUAUUUUAAACUUUCAUUUUUUUAACAGCAGAAACAUUUUUUUCAAUAAAAAUCUUAUACAGAACCUCGAUGUAUAAAAGAGAGGCUGCUGUACAUGUAAAUAGAGGAAAGAGCAUACCAUUCCAUCCUCCCUUACCCCCAUGUUUGUCCCAAGGCACCUCUGAGAAAACCUAGGUAGUCUGAAAGAGCUGGAACACUACGUUCUCUCACCUGCCACCUCCAGUGCCCUGCCUGAGCUCAAUUCCCACCUAGAUCCCUAUAGUCGCCUCCUGACUGCUCUCCCUGCUCACCUCCCACACCUCUGACCCGGCCUUGAGAAUCCAGGGCUGCUCACACUUUCCUAUCACAUGGCUCAGACAGCAGAGCAGUGGUCUCAGAGGGAGUUAGGAGAAGAUGACUCAAGCCCAGAUUUUAUUUUAAUUACUUGCCACUAUCACUUUUAGUAUCCUGAGGCUUCAGGUACUAUCCUAUUCCUAAGGAUACAACACAGUCUGAGAGGUACUACGCUACACUCUCACCAGGGCUUUUCCAAGGCGUCAUCUGAUCAGAUCAUUCCUCGGCUCCCCAGUACUUACAAAAUAAAAAUCCAAAUUUUAGCAGUCAAGGAAUUUACACAGAGGGCUCUACUUCCAAACUGGGACAUGUGGUUCCAGAGAAACAGAGGAAGCCACAGGACAAUAUGGUAUGUCUUACUUAAGGUCAGUAAUUUUAAAAUAUUAAGUUUAUAUUAAUUAGAGAAGCAACACGGUAUUAAAAUGUAAUACCCGCAUGAAUUUAUAAGGCAAAACACAUGAAAUGUUGAGUGCAGUGGGGCAUUUCCAGCUUUAUUCUCAGAUCUUUCUCACCUCAAGUACCAAGUUACUGCCCUUCGUAAUUAGGUAUGCUUUGGUAGAAAACGCCCAUUUUUCAGAUGAGGAAGCUGAGGCUCAGAAAGGUUAAAUAAUCCGCCCACAGUCACACAACUAGUAAGUGGUUAAGCUGGACUUUUACCCCAGGUAGUCUGCCUUCAGUCAUGCUCCUAACAACUAUGCCUAUUGCCUCCUCGAAUGCAUUAGAAUGUCCUUCACUUCCACUAAGUAUGCUUUCUCUGUUUUCUUCAUCAGAAACACAAGGCUCUCAUAGUCCAUCACUCACUUAUCCACCUUUGAUAGACAUGGAUAUUCAGAACUAUUUCUUCAGUAUAAGAAAAGUAAAGUGUAUGUGCGAUGGUAAAUGUCGACUGAACUCGCUGCCUGACAGGGAGUGACGCUAAGGAUGCCAUACCCCUUCUAAGAGACAGUGGCAUCUCAGCUGGAGUCCACUGAAUGCCUUGCAAAACCAGUCCAGUGCUACCAAACAAUCCAAAUUUCCAAAAGAAGCUGAAGAUGUGCAACCUGUUGAUCUUAAAAUUGCCUGCACAACUUUGGAUCUUAUUACACUUCUGGGUGAGAAUCUGAAGUAACUCAUGUGAGAAAGAGGUACAGAAAAGGGGGCUGAAAGAGAAGCAGAUCCUAUGUCUCCCUUGGAACAAAAACACAUUUGUGGGCCGGGGAGAGAUGCAAGGCAACUGAUCAUCUGAUCAUAAUGUGUUCACUUGGACCAGUGGAAACCCUCCCCCCCCAGAUGCAAUCAAUUCUUCUCAUUCUCCACAUCUAAGGGACAUCACAGAAUUGAAGAUUCAAGAACAAAAGGAAAAAAGGACAAGAGCAGAGAAAGAGAAAGAAUGGAAAGAGGAAAUGAUUGCCCUGACUGGUUUUCUCAGUGGUUAGAGCGUCGGAGGGUUCGAGGGUUCCAUUCCCCAUUUGGGCCAAGUUGCCCGCUCAGUCCCCAGCAGGGAGCAUGAGAAAGAUGGAAACAUCAUGUACCUGGGAUGCAGGCUCCCUGCGGACCUUGGUCAGGGUACAGGCGCUGGUUGGGGUGCAUUCAAGAGACAACCGAUUGAUGUGAUCAAUGUUUCUUUCUCUCUCCCUUCUAUUCCCUCUAAAAAACCACUGGAAAAAUAUUCUCAGGUGAGGAUUUAAAAAAAAGGGAAUGGUAGCAGCUAAUAGCUAAUAUUUAUUGAGUGCUUGUUAUGAGCCAAAUACCAUGACAAACAUUUAAUCCUCACAACCAUCUUAGAGGUUCUUAUCCCCAUUUUAUAAAGAAACUGAGGUUCAAAGAGAUUAAAUGGCAGAGGCAGGUGACCCCAAAGUCUGCGCUUUCAAAUACUUCAAAACACUUCCUUCCAGCAAGAAUGAUGGUGCCACAGGCAUUUCUUUCAUUCAGAUUCACUGGUGUGUUUUGUAUGUUCACUUCUUUCCUUUUUUUUAAUUGAAUUUACUGGGGGGACAUUGGUUAAUAAAAUCAUAGAGGUUU